AUACUACGGUAGGAAGAUUUUUAUGACUGAGUGGCGGACGGGUGAGUAACGCGUGGGUAACCUGCCUCAUACAGGGGGAUAACAGUUAGAAAUGGCUGCUAAUACCGCAUAAGCGCACAGUACUGCAUGGUACAGUGUGAAAAACUCUGGUGGUAUGAGAUGGACCCGCGUCUGAUUAGCUAGUUGGUGAGGUAAGGGCUCACCAAGGCAACGAUCAGUAGCCGACCUGAGAGGGUGAACGGCCACAUUGGGACUGAGACACGGCCCAAACUCCUACGGGAGGCAGCAGUGGGGAAUAUUGCACAAUGGGGGGAACCCUGAUGCAGCGACGCCGCGUGAAGGAAGAAGUAUUUCGGUAUGUAAACUUCUAUCAGCAGGGAAGAAAAUGACGGUACCUGACUAAGAAGCCCCGGCUAACUACGUGCCAGCAGCCGCGGUAAUACGUAGGGGGCAAGCGUUAUCCGGAUUUACUGGGUGUAAAGGGAGCGUAGGCGGCAGUGCAAGUCAGAAGUGAAAGCCCAAGGCUCAACCAUGGGACUGCUUUUGAAACUGUACAGCUAGAUUGCAGGAGAGGUAAGUGGAAUUCCUAGUGUAGCGGUGAAAUGCGUAGAUAUUAGGAGGAACACCAGUGGCGAAGGCGGCUUACUGGACUGUAAAUGACGCUGAGGCUCGAAAGCGUGGGGAGCAAACAGGAUUAGAUACCCUGGUAGUCCACGCUGUAAACGAUGAAUACUAGGUGUCAGGGAGCAAAAGCUCUUUGGUGCCGC
This 767-nucleotide ribosomal RNA is filed under the name uncultured bacterium. RNAcentral describes it as "bacterial SSU rRNA". It matches the Rfam family "Bacterial small subunit ribosomal RNA", at positions 64 to 849 of the family's 1533-position model. The record is from RNAcentral.